This 781-nucleotide ribosomal RNA is filed under the name uncultured Neocallimastigales. Its description in RNAcentral is "partial large subunit ribosomal RNA". It matches the Rfam family "Eukaryotic large subunit ribosomal RNA", at positions 23 to 645 of the family's 3401-position model. The record is from RNAcentral. Lineage: Eukaryota; Fungi; Neocallimastigomycota; Neocallimastigomycetes; Neocallimastigales.
ACACGCAUGACACACUGCAUAUCAAUAAGCGGAGGAAAAGAAACUAACAAGGAUUCCCCUAGUAACGGCGAGUGAAGCGGGAAGAGCUCAAAUUUGAAAUCUUAAAGGGUUUCCCUUGACGAAUUGUAGUUUAAAGAAGUGUUUUCUGUUAGAGAGGUUUGGUAAAAGUUCUUUGGAAUAGGACAUCAUAGAGGGUGAGAAUCCCGUAUUUGAUCACUUUACUUCAACGUUGUGAUACACUUUCAAAGAGUCGGAUUGUUUGGGAAUGCAGUCCAAAAUGGGUGGUAAAUUUCAUCUAAAGCUAAAUAUUGGCGAGAGACCGAUAGCGAACAAGUACCGUGAGGGAAAGAUGAAAAGAACUUUGAAAAGAGAGUUAAACAGUACGUGAAAUUGUCAAAAGGGAGGCGUUUGACACCAGUGUUGUUUUGCUGAGAAAUCAAUGUAGGAACGGGUUGUAUGCUAGGCUGUUGAGACCUUAUCAGCUAUCCUUUACUCUUUGAGCUUUUCCGUUAAUGCACUUUUCAUUUAACAAGUCAACAUCAAUUUCUUUUGCUGUAAAAAAGCUUGAGGAAGGUGGCUUGAGAUUCGUCUUAAGUGUUUAUAGCCUCUUGCCUAUGCAGUCGGAGAGAUUGAGGUCUGCAGCGUAGAUCCUUCGGGGCUAAAUGCAUUUGUGCUAAGUUAUAGCAUUUUAUAGACAACUUGUUGACUAUGAUUUGUCUUGUAGCUUACUCGCUUAUGUUAUUUUACCUACGCUUAGGAUGUUGACGCAUGAGAUAUACGC